This 192-nucleotide ribosomal RNA is filed under the name uncultured Acidobacteriota bacterium. RNAcentral describes it as "uncultured Acidobacteria bacterium partial 16S ribosomal RNA". It matches the Rfam family "Bacterial small subunit ribosomal RNA", at positions 337 to 523 of the family's 1533-position model. The record is from RNAcentral. Lineage: Bacteria; Pseudomonadati; Acidobacteriota.
UCCUACGGGAGGCAGCAGUGGGGAAUUGUUCGCAAUGGGCGCAAGCCUGACGACGCAACGCCGCGUGGAGGAUGAAGGUCUUCGGAUUGUAAACUCCUGUUGCCCGGGACGAAUGGCUCCGACCUAACACGUCGGAGUUUGACGGUACCGGGUGAGGAAGCCCCGGCUAACUCUGUGCCAGCACCGCGGUAA